This 254-nucleotide ribosomal RNA is filed under the name uncultured bacterium. RNAcentral describes it as "partial 16S ribosomal RNA". It matches the Rfam family "Bacterial small subunit ribosomal RNA", at positions 524 to 776 of the family's 1533-position model. The record is from RNAcentral.
UACGGUGGGAGCAAGCGUUGCUCGGAUUUACUGGGCGUAAAGGGCGCGUAGGCGGCCACUGCAAGUCAGUUGUGAAAUCUCCGGGCUUAACCCGGAAAGGUCAACUGAUACUGCAGGGCUAGAGUGCAGAAGGGGCAACUGGAAUUCUCGGUGUAGCGGUGAAAUGCGUAGAUAUCGAGAGGAACACCUGCGGCGAAGGCGGGUUGCUGGGCUGACACUGACGCUGAUGUGCGAAAGCCAGGGGAGCGAACGGG